Molecule: ribosomal RNA, 430 nt
Filed under: Pseudomonadota bacterium
Lineage: Bacteria; Pseudomonadati; Pseudomonadota
Description: Proteobacteria bacterium partial 16S ribosomal RNA
Rfam family: Bacterial small subunit ribosomal RNA
Source: RNAcentral
UGGGGUAUAUUGGACAAUGGGCGCAAGCCUGAUCCAGCCAUGCCGCGUGUGUGAAGCAGGCCUUAUGGUUGUAAAGCACUUUAAGCGAGGAGGAGGCUACUUUAGUUAAUACCUAGCGAUAGUGGACGUUACUCGCAGAAUACGCACCGGCUAACUCUGUGCCAGCAGCCGCGGUAAUACAGAGGGUGCAAGCGUUAAUCGGAUUUACUGGGCGUAAAGCGCGCGUAGGCGGCUAAUUAAGUCAAAUGUGAAAUCCCCGAGCUUAACUUGGGGAUUGCAUUCGAUACUGGUUAGCUAGAGUGUGGGAGAGGAUGGUAGAAUUCCAGGUGUAGCGGUGAAAUGCGUAGAGAUCUGGAGGAAUACCGAUGGCGAAGGCAGCCAUCUGGCCUAACACGGACGCUGAGGUGCGAAAGCAUGGGGAGCAAACAGG